Molecule: long non-coding RNA, 376 nt
Organism: Felis catus (domestic cat)
Lineage: Eukaryota; Metazoa; Chordata; Mammalia; Carnivora; Felidae
Exons: 4
Source: RefSeq, a predicted model, not a curated record
GGGAUGUUGUGGCGGCGGAGGAGUCUCGGAAGACACUGGGAGGUUAGGCAACGCGUCUCUUUGAGGUGGUACCGUGUGUGCCCAUGUGCCCACCUCUCGCUUGCGUUCUCUUCUGUGGUGUAUCAGCACUGUUUACGAGGGAUGCAUGAUUUGAGAAUCUCCAUUUGGUCUUUGAGCCUGUCUGUUCUGUGACCCCUGGGAUAGCUUGGCUGGCAGUGUACUUGGAGGCCACCAUUGCAUCAAGGGAUAUAUUUUCAGAUGCCUAAGGCCAUAUACUGAAUAUGCUGGUGUGAACAUCUCUGAUGGGAAGGACAAUGUAAAUGAGAAUGGACAGAGAGAGACAGAGCAUGAACGGGGGAGGGGCAGAGAGAGAGGA